This 28-nucleotide small RNA is filed under the name Bombyx mori (domestic silkworm). Its description in RNAcentral is "piRNA piR-bmo-2129158". Lineage: Eukaryota; Metazoa; Arthropoda; Insecta; Lepidoptera; Bombycidae. The record is from RNAcentral.
UAACUAUCGGGAGGGACUGAGCGGUCAG